UAGUAAUGGCAGGUCAGCAUACUGCCGUGAAUACGUUCCCGGGCCUUGUACACACCGCCCGUCACACCAUGAGAGUUGGGAAUACCCGAAGCCUGUGAGCUAACUUAUAGAGGCAGCAGUCGAAGGUAGAAUCAAUGAUUGGGGUGAAGUCGUAACAAGGUAUC
This 164-nucleotide ribosomal RNA is filed under the name uncultured bacterium. RNAcentral's name for it is "partial 16S ribosomal RNA". It matches the Rfam family "Bacterial small subunit ribosomal RNA", at positions 1336 to 1500 of the family's 1533-position model. The record is from RNAcentral.